CAGCAGCCGCGGAAUACAGAGGGUGCAAGCGUUAAUCGGAAUUACUGGGCGUAAAGCGCGCGUAGGUGGUUCGCCAAGUUGGAUGUGAAAUCCCCGGGCUCAACCUGGGAACUGCAUCCAAAACUGGCGAGCUAGAGUAUGGUAGAGGGUGGUGGAAUUUCCUGUGUAGCGGUGAAAUGCGUAGAUAUAGGAAGGAACAUCAGUGGCGAAGGCGACCACCUGGACUGAUACUGACACUGAGGUGCGAAAGCGUGGGGAGCAAACAGGAUUAGAUACCCCCGUAGUCCCUGUCUCUUAUACC
RNAcentral lists this ribosomal RNA (301 nucleotides) under uncultured bacterium. RNAcentral's name for it is "partial 16S ribosomal RNA". It matches the Rfam family "Bacterial small subunit ribosomal RNA", at positions 509 to 808 of the family's 1533-position model. The record is from RNAcentral.